AGGGCUAUCGCCAAACGGUAAGGCAACGGACUCUGACUCCGUCAUUUCAAGGUUCGAAUCCUUGUAGCCCUGUCA
Molecule: transfer RNA, 75 nt
Filed under: Lachnospiraceae bacterium
Lineage: Bacteria; Bacillati; Bacillota; Clostridia; Lachnospirales; Lachnospiraceae
Description: tRNA-Gln
Rfam family: tRNA
About the family: Transfer RNA (tRNA) molecules are approximately 80 nucleotides in length. Their secondary structure includes four short double-helical elements and three loops (D, anti-codon, and T loops).
Source: RNAcentral